Molecule: ribosomal RNA, 249 nt
Filed under: Staphylococcus aureus
Lineage: Bacteria; Bacillati; Bacillota; Bacilli; Caryophanales; Staphylococcaceae
Description: partial 23S ribosomal RNA
Rfam family: Bacterial large subunit ribosomal RNA
Source: RNAcentral
CUCUCUAGUGACCGAUAGUGAACCAGUACCGUGAGGGAAAGGUGAAAAGCACCCCGGAAGGGGAGUGAAAUAGAACCUGAAACCGUGUGCUUACAAGUAGUCAGAGCCCGUUAAUGGGGGAUGGCGUGCCUUUUGUAGAAUGAACCGGCGAGUUACGAUUUGAUGCAAGGUUAAGCAGUAAAUGUGGAGCCGUAGCGAAAGCGAGUCUGAAUAGGGCGUUUAGUAUUUGGUCGUAGACCCGAAACCAGG